AAAAAUUUAGUUAAAUUAUAACAUUAGCUUGUCAGGCUGGAAUCAUUCAUUUAGAAUAAUUUUUU
Molecule: transfer RNA, 65 nt
Filed under: Agrilus sichuanus
Lineage: Eukaryota; Metazoa; Arthropoda; Insecta; Coleoptera; Buprestidae
Description: tRNA-Asp
Source: RNAcentral